This 523-nucleotide ribosomal RNA is filed under the name uncultured bacterium. RNAcentral's name for it is "partial 16S ribosomal RNA". It matches the Rfam family "Bacterial small subunit ribosomal RNA", at positions 28 to 523 of the family's 1533-position model. The record is from RNAcentral.
GACGAACGCUGGCGGCGUGCCUAAUACAUGCAAGUCGAACGCUUUUUCUUUCACCGGAGCUUGCUCCACCGAAAGAAAAAGAGUGGCGAACGGGUGAGUAACACGUGGGUAACCUGCCCAUCAGAAGGGGAUAACACUUGGAAACAGAUGCUAAUACCGUAUAACACUAUUUUCCGCAUGGAAGAAAGUUGAAAGGCGCUUUUGCGUCACUGAUGGAUGGACCCGCGGUGCAUUAGCUAGUUGGUGAGGUAACGGCUCACCAAGGCAACGAUGCAUAGCCGACCUGGGAGGGUGAUCGGCCACACUGGGACUGAGACACGGCCCAGACUCCUACGGGAGGCAGCAGUAGGGAAUCUUCGGCAAUGGACGAAAGUCUGACCGAGCAACGCCGCGUGAGUGAAGAAGGUUUUCGGAUCGUAAAACUCUGUUGUUAGAGAAGAACAAGGAUGAGAGUAAAAUGUUCAUCCCUUGACGGUAUCUAACCAGAGAGCCACGGCUAACUACGUGCCAGCCGCCGCGGUAA